This 165-nucleotide unclassified non-coding RNA is filed under the name uncultured fungus. Its description in RNAcentral is "sequence contains ITS1, 5.8S rRNA gene". The record is from RNAcentral. Lineage: Eukaryota; Fungi.
CAGAGUUUUCUAAACUCCCAACCCUAUGUGAACUUACCUUUGUUGCCUCGGCGGGACCUACCCGGUACCCCCUCCUUUUUGGGAGGGACUACCCUGUAGCCCGCCGGUGGAUUUUCAAACUCUUGUUAUUUUAAUGAUAUCUGAGCGUCUUAUUUUAAUAAGUCA